This 194-nucleotide ribosomal RNA is filed under the name uncultured bacterium. RNAcentral describes it as "partial 16S ribosomal RNA". It matches the Rfam family "Bacterial small subunit ribosomal RNA", at positions 338 to 524 of the family's 1533-position model. The record is from RNAcentral.
CCUACGGGAGGCAGCAGUGGGGAAUAUUGGACAAUGGGCGCAAGCCUGAUCCAGCAAUGCCGCGUGUGUGAAGAAGGCCUUCGGGUUGUAAAGCACUUUCACUAGGGAGGAAAAGCGAUGCGUUAAUACCGUAUAGCCGUGACGUUACCUAGAGAAGAAGCACCGGCUAACUCCGUGCCAGCAGCCGCGGUAAU